Molecule: long non-coding RNA, 497 nt
Organism: Magallana angulata
Lineage: Eukaryota; Metazoa; Mollusca; Bivalvia; Ostreida; Ostreidae
Exons: 3
Source: RefSeq, a predicted model, not a curated record
AACCUAUAUAUUUGUCACUUUUUCUUCAAAAUAUUGCGUCCUGGUUAGAAGCAGAUUUGAAAGAUCCUACAUUUCUUGUUGCAAUUCAAGCCACAAUGAAGAUUGUCAUCGUAUUUCUCCUGGUGUGCCUAAUUCUGGAGAGCUCAUCCAAGCCAGAUGGAAAAGAAAACGAUGAUGACAAAAACGGAAACAAUGGCAAUGACGACAACGGAAAUGGCAACGACGGGAACGACGAUAAUGGAAACGACGACGGUGGAGACAAUAACAAAGGGAGCGGAUCCACAAAUAGCAGGGGAAAUUAAUACAGUGAGCGGAUCCACAGAAAACAGGAAAUAGAAUUGAUACAAUCUACCGAUGCAGACAAAGUCAUUUGAUUGCUUUUAAUUAUUUAAUGAAAGUGUUUACAUAUUACAUCUGCGUUACAAAAUUGAAAAAUUAUGUUUGCGUAAUGAAUUUAACAAUGUCUGUUCACAAUACAACAGAUCAAUAAAUACAUA